Long non-coding RNA from Leopardus geoffroyi (Geoffroy's cat), 174 nucleotides. RefSeq lists it as uncharacterized. Lineage: Eukaryota; Metazoa; Chordata; Mammalia; Carnivora; Felidae. The transcript has 3 exons. The record is from RefSeq and is a predicted model, not a curated record.
UUUUUCUCCACGUCCUCGCCAAUACUUGUUAUCUCAUUUGUGUGAUGAUCUUCCAUGGGCCUUGAAUGAUGAACAUAAGGAUAAUCCAGGAGAAAGAAAGAAGGUCAGAUGGCUCAACAGCACUGCCAACGAGGGGUCAGCAGUAGAAGGUAAGGAGAGUAAAUAUAUGUAGAG